AGCAGCCGCGGUAAUUCCAGCUCCAAUAGCGUAUAUUAAAGUUGUUGCAGUUAAAAAGCUCGUAGUUGAAUUUCGGGAUUAGUACGUUGGUCGUGCCUUAGGUACGUACUGGUGUUACUGGUUCCUACCUUCUGACGAACCAUCAUGUCAUUAAUUUGGUGUGGCGGGGAAUCAGGACUGUUACUUUGAAAAAAUUAGAGUGUUUAAAGCAGGCUCGCGCUUGAAUACAUUAGCAUGGAAUAAUGAAAUAGGACGUUGACCCUAUUUUGUUGGUUUCUAGGAUUGACGUAAUGAUUAAUAGGGAUAGUUGGGGGCAUUAGUAUUCAAUUGUCAGAGGUGAAAUUCUUGGAUUUAUUGAAGACUAACUACUGCGAAAGCAUUUGCCAAGGAUGUUUUCAUUAAUCAAGAACGAAAGUUAGGGGAUCGAAGACGAUCAGAUACCGUCGUAGUCUUAACCAUAAACUAUGCCGACUAGGGAUCGGAUGAUGUAAUUUUUAAUGACUCA
This 505-nucleotide ribosomal RNA is filed under the name Glomus sp. Glo2. RNAcentral describes it as "SSU rRNA". It matches the Rfam family "Eukaryotic small subunit ribosomal RNA", at positions 569 to 1078 of the family's 1831-position model. The record is from RNAcentral. Lineage: Eukaryota; Fungi; Glomeromycota; Glomeromycetes; Glomerales; Glomeraceae.